GGCAAAGGUCUCUGUAGUUGUACAAGGCCAGAAAGGAAAAGCAGUUAUUUACUUAGUCAUUUGCCAAUAUGAAAAGGGACCAGAGGUUACGAGAGGAGGAUGUAGCUAAGAAUUAAAAGUCAACAACUUUGAAUUAAAGUUAUCAUAGUGCAUGUCAGAGAAAUUCUUUGCCAAGCUUAAGUGUGGUUUUUGUCAACAUACCAGCAGAGGUGCUGAAAAUAGCAGCUACAAGGUUAUCCGGGGAAAACAAAGGAAUUGAACAAGUUCAAAGUAUGUGUGCCAGUUAGGAGUCCUGAAGACGAUGAAGCUUUUAUCCCUUAUCUCAGACCACUUGUUGCUCUGUGUCUUCCUGAGUCUACUCUGGGGCACAACUGACUCCAAUACAACAAUCACAUCAACAGUGACGACGACAGUGACAGCAGGACAGAAAAGUACAGCAAAAACAGAAACAAGCACAAGACUAAGAACCAAUCUGCUGACAGCUCCAGAUAAUGUUGACAGAGUGGAUGUGACCACACAAAAUGAGAACAGUAUAACUCUGACCUGGAACAAGGUUAACAACAUCCCAACAUACAUCCUGCAAUAUGGUAAUAUAAGAGAAGAUAUUUAUAAACCUGAAGAAGGACCCAUAGUACAUGUGGUCACUUCUCUGACUGCUGGGACAAACUACACAUUCACUCUCUUCACCAUGUCUGAGGGACUCAACAGCAGUGGAUACAGAUUCAGUGCUGUGACAGCUCCUCGUAAUGCUGACGACUUUAAGAAAAAUGGACAAGAUGAGACCAGCAUAACUCUGGAGUGGAAAACAGUCCCCAACAUCGACAAAUACAUUCUUGCAUUUAAUGAAAGAGAGAUCAAUAUUAGUAAUUCUGAAAACGAAUACAGAGUGUUAAAUUUGACCAGUGGAACCAGAUACACUUUCACUCUCUUCACUGUGUUUGGAAAUGUCAGAAGCAGUGGAGUAAACUGCAUCACAGUCACUGGUAAGAUAUAUUUUCUCUAACAUAGACAGAUAAACCAGGAUGGACCAGCUCAUUAGUACUUGAAACUUUAGCUGAUGGAGAGUUGUUGUUUUUUUUUUUGUGUGUUUUUUUUAAUCAAAGCCACUUUCCUCUGUUAUCUUUAGCUCCACAAAGUGUUAAUAAUGUGACUGUGGUGCAUCAAAAUGAGAUGAGUAUACCACUGGAGUGGAACAAGGUUAAAAACAUCCCAGAAUACAUCCUACAGAAUAAUAACAUAAACAUUUGUCAAAUUUUCCAACUUGAAUAUGUCAAAUACUAACCCGACCUAUAAUCCUAGACUGCUUACUGCUAACCUGUUGGAGGUUAACAGAUUAAAAACAUCUAAAACAGUCAUAGUCCUUUAAAAUGUUCCACAGUUGAUGCUCCUUUACAACAUGAACAAGAGCAGAGCUCUAUAAUGAUGUUUAAGGUUUCUCAGAAACAGAAGAGUGUAGCUCACCUAAUGUUUUUCAAAAGGACUGAUAAAAAUACUGAAACUGAAGCCUCGCUCCAUGUUUCUGUGUCUGACAGAAAAUGUUGUUACAGUUUCUUGUUUGUGCGUUUUUCUAUUCUAGCUCCUCGUAAUGCUGACGACUUUAAGAAAAAUGGACAAAAUGAGACCAGCAUAACUCUGGGGUGGAAAACAGUCCCCAACAUCGACAAAUACAUUCUUGCAUUUAAUGAAAGAGAGAUCAACAUUAGUAAUUCUGAAAAAGAAUACAGAGUGUUAAAUUUGACCAGUGGAACCAGAUACAAUUUCACUCUCUUCACUGUGUUUGAUAAUGUCAGAAGCAGUGGAGUAAACUGCAUCGCAGUUACUGCUCCUCGUAAUGCUGACGAAUUUAAGAAAAAUGGACAAGAUGAGACCAGCAUAACUCUGGGGUGGAAAAUAGUCCCCAACAUCGACAAUUAUAUUCUUGUGUUUAAUGAAAGAGAGAUCAGCAUUAGUAAUUCUGAAAAAGAAUACAGAGUGUCAGACUUGACCAGUGGAACCAGAUACAAUUUCACUCUCUUCACUGUGUUUGGAAAUGUCAGAAGCAGUGGAGUAAACUGCAUCGCAG
Molecule: long non-coding RNA, 2062 nt
Organism: Astatotilapia calliptera (eastern happy)
Lineage: Eukaryota; Metazoa; Chordata; Actinopteri; Cichliformes; Cichlidae
Source: Ensembl